Molecule: ribosomal RNA, 689 nt
Filed under: uncultured Pseudomonadota bacterium
Lineage: Bacteria; Pseudomonadati; Pseudomonadota
Description: bacterial SSU rRNA
Rfam family: Bacterial small subunit ribosomal RNA
Source: RNAcentral
ACAUGCAAGCCGAGCGGGCGAGGUUGCUUCGGUAACUGAGCUAGCGGCGGACGGGUGAGUAAUGCUUAGGAAUCUGCCUAUUAGUGGGGGACAACAUUCCGAAAGGAAUGCUAAUACCGCAUACGCCCUACGGGGGAAAGCAGGGGAUCUUCGGACCUUGCGCUAAUAGAUGAGCCUAAGUCAGAUUAGCUAGUUGGUGGGGUAAAGGCCUACCAAGGCGACGAUCUGUAGCGGGUCUGAGAGGAUGAUCCGCCACACUGGGACUGAGACACGGCCCAGACUCCUACGGGAGGCAGCAGUGGGGAAUAUUGGACAAUGGGCGCAAGCCUGAUCCAGCCAUGCCGCGUGUGUGAAGAAGGCCUUUUGGUUGUAAAGCACUUUAAGCGAGGAGGAGGCUACUUGGAUUAAUACUCUAGGAUAGUGGACGUUACUCGCAGAAUAAGCACCGGCUAACUCUGUGCCAGCAGCCGCGGUAAUACAGAGGGUGCGAGCGUUAAUCGGAUUUACUGGGCGUAAAGCGUGCGUAGGCGGCUUCUUAAGUCGGAUGUGAAAUCCCUGAGCUUAACUUAGGAAUUGCAUUCGAUACUGGGAAGCUAGAGUAUGGGAGAGGAUGGUAGAAUUCCAGGUGUAGCGGUGAAAUGCGUAAAGAUCUGGAGGAAUACCGAUGGCGAAGGCAGCCAUCUGGCCUA